Long non-coding RNA from Zalophus californianus (California sea lion), 807 nucleotides. RefSeq lists it as uncharacterized. The record is from RefSeq and is a predicted model, not a curated record. NCBI's taxonomy places the organism in Eukaryota, Metazoa, Chordata, Mammalia, Carnivora, Otariidae. The transcript has 3 exons.
CACUGUCCUCUACGAGCAUAUAUUCUGGCUUCCAACAAAUCCUCUGUUUCCCUUUACAGUGCAUAUACUUGGACAUCGUUAGCAUUAUGCGGAUGGAAUAAAAGGCGGGCUUCAGGGAAAGCUCUCCCUUCCAAGAGUUCCUUUGCCGGGGCGUGGAUGUGAGGAGAGCACCCAGAAGAUGGCGUCUGCUAUGUCUCCUGGCUGCCUGGAAAGAAACUGGAAGCCUGAGCACAUCCUCUGAGAAGAGAUCAGAAGUGAAUUUGAAAAUGACUAGCAAAUUUUUAAUGGAAAAUAACAUGAAGAGGUCCUAUGUUAGUCCCUAGGAUUCAGACUGCAAGGCGAGCAAGCACUGAGUGCCUACUGUAUACCAGAGCUUGUGUCAGAUGCAAAGAAUAUGAAGCUAAACAGGACAUGGCCACCAAGAGCAAUGGCACUGAUGGCGGCAAUUUCUCCAAGCACGGACUAUGUGCUGGACAUGCUCCUUUAUGGUCCUUGAAGCCCUGCAUGAUCUAGCCCAAGUCUCCAUCCUGACUUUAGUGCCUGGUUCUCUCCACUGGCCUUUCCUCUUCAGCCACACUGGUCUUGGAUUCUCUGACCACAUCAAGGACAUUCCAACCUCAGGGCCUUAGCACCUCCUGGUCCUUCCGUCUGGUGUGCUCUUUCCCAAGACCUCUGCAAGACUCAAUGCUUACUUUCUUCAAAAUCCUCUCCUCAAAUGUCACCAUGUCAGAGAAAGCUUCCCUCAUCACUGUAUAUAAAGUAGCAUAUCCCUAGAGCGCCUGGGUGGCUCAGUUGGGUAAGUGUCUG